AGGCAGAGAGAAGGAUAGUCAGAUUGCGUAGCAGGGUUAGGUGGGUUUCCGUGCUAAGUACAGCAAUUGCGCACGGUCCCUUACGUAACUGUCAGCUGGGGAUUCCCUAGAGGGGGUCACUGUAUUCAACCAUUACACAGACCCCUGCCGCCGUUCCAACACGCCUGGGCUGCCGUUGCCGCCGCUACUGAGGCUGCGGCUGCAGCUACAACGGCGGCUCCUCACAAAAUGGCGGCGCCCAUGGACGCGGCAGCAGCCCCAUUUUGUGCCCACAGAGCUGUCAACAAAACACGGACUCGGCCGGGGCAGAGACGCAGAAGUCGGCGGCGAAGCGACGUUAUGGGGAGCGAGGGACUUCACCAGCUUCUCGUCCCCGAGAAGAGACUUUCUCUAAAGCGUGCGCGCACUGGGCGGGGGAGGCGAGCAGCGGACGAAGCGGCGAAUUGAGCGCUGGGACCAGCAGGGAGCGAGAGCUCUGCGGGGACCUUCCGGAGCUGUGGCUCCGUGGUCGGGGCGAUGGUCCUGCCCUGUGCGAUCCGGGAUGCUCGGCAGCAAGGCGCUGCCCCGGUCUCGCCGGCGGGGACAGGGAGGUUCCCCGUGGGGGAUAGGUCUUGGACAGUGGGGAUGGGAGCGGAUUUGCUGUCUCCUCCUGGAGAUCUUGUUCCGGGCUCGCUCCUUGCUCUUAAACCUCUCCCUUCUUGAGCUCGUGGUUGGCAGCCCAGUUUAUGUAACUUUAUUGCUGUAGGAAUCUUGCAAACCUGCAAGGAGCUGCAGGAAGAUCUGGAUUCUUAGUUUAGUUAAUUAGGUCAAUUUCAGCAUUUAAUUACUGUUUGCUUCUUUUUAGUGCGUGCCUUUGGAAUCGGCCUAUUAGGUUGAUGCUUCAGUUUACAUUAGCUAACAGCAAGUAUCAAUCCAUGAGGAAAAUCUGUACUUUGGAGAUUUUAAAAAUAAUAGAAGAAUCGGUGAGAGAGGUGGCAGUGACCAGAUUAAGGUUGAGCAACACAGGAAACAGAAUGCCACAUAUUUAUUGCAUGCUGUUUCUUGAUAGAUAUAUGCCAAACUACCCCCUUCACCACAGCAUGGGCCGGAAAGGAGGACUUACUCAACAAAAGUACAGGUAGCGUUGGCAUUUAAACUACAGUGCCUGUAUUUCUACCUAUUAAAAGAUAUGUUUUGAAAGAACUAGAUAUCUAUAACUAGACACAAGUGGCUUAAAGUAGAAAUGAAAAAGAGCAAUCCUGUUUAUGUACCUUACUAGCUUACAUACCUGGGUAAUCAUCCUCUUGAGCAUUACAGCAUGUAGCAGUAUCCACUCUCAUAGCAAGAUGUCAGAACAACUAUAAGAUUUUUAAGGGGAAGAGGACUUUGGAAGAACUUCUUCAAGAUAGGUGAGCACAGGAGGGUAACAAUUACCUCAAUGGAAGAGCCAGGUAGAAUUAAGAUGGUAUGUGUUAAUAGUGCUAAAGCACAAGACAGAUUCUACUAGCAGCUGCAGAGACAACAACUGCUGUACAAAAUAUCAUUGCAGGAGGCUUGUUUCUUGAAGGACAUCAGUAUGGGAAUACAGUGGGUGGUCAGUACUCCACUAAUUUACUCUUUAAGAAGUUAUCGUUAGCAACAACAGUAAAUAUAUAAUACAAAUACAGUAGAAUGGGAGGG
Chrysemys picta bellii (western painted turtle) is the source of this 1659-nucleotide long non-coding RNA. The record is from Ensembl. Lineage: Eukaryota; Metazoa; Chordata; Testudines; Emydidae.